This is a long non-coding RNA of Daphnia pulicaria, 717 nucleotides long. RefSeq lists it as uncharacterized. Lineage: Eukaryota; Metazoa; Arthropoda; Branchiopoda; Diplostraca; Daphniidae. The record is from RefSeq and is a predicted model, not a curated record. The transcript is spliced from 4 exons.
UCUUAACUUGUCGCUGAUGUGUUCUAUUCCGUGUAUAUGUUGGAUAACCUUUGUUUCUCAUCAACUUAUAGGAGGUAGGCCGUCGUGCAGCCUACCGUCAACUAUUUUGUUCAGAAUCAUUGUAUUCUACUGACUGUUCCAUCGAAAUGAUACAAGAGUCAUAAUUAUAUUGGACUUGCUAGAUCACCCCAGCAUAGACCAAUCUCUCAUUUCAUCUUCUCAAGAGAAGAUUUGAUAACUGACCGGUGGUUUCAUUUGAUCUAAAAUUCUAAACACCAGGUUUCUAAAUUUGCAUGGUAGACUUUAUAAUAAGAAGUCAUAUGUCCUUUCAAGAAAGUCAAUAAGGUCCCUUGUUUACUAACCUGUUGGCUGCUACCAUUGAAUCUCCCUUUUUACUUUCUAAAGCGGGCCAUCUUAACAAGAGGGUAAUCCUUCGCUACUUGUCAUAGACUUCAUCCGCUGGUGAAAAACGGACGAGAGAAUGCUACAAUUCAAGACUGAUAAAUUGUUUAAUCGUUAGAUUCAAUUACAAGUGCAUAUCUGGGCUACCUUCUUUUCUGUGGCCCCGUUUCCCUAACUAACCACUAACCAAUGCCCGCCGUUGGUCACUCACCGGUGUGAAACCAGGAGGAGGGGAGGGCUCUGGUCGAACGGGGACUUGGAAGGCGCAUGAUCCGAUGAAAACUUUUGGAGGGUCAUGAGUCUAACCCAGAAUCC